RNAcentral lists this unclassified non-coding RNA (334 nucleotides) under soil metagenome. RNAcentral describes it as "partial contains 5.8S ribosomal RNA, internal transcribed spacer 2, and large subunit ribosomal RNA". The stretch from base 1 to 120 matches the Rfam family "5.8S ribosomal RNA", at positions 35 to 154 of the family's 154-position model. The record is from RNAcentral.
GAUGAAGAACGCAGCGAAAUGCGAUAAGUAAUGUGAAUUGCAGAAUUCAGUGAAUCAUCGAAUCUUUGAACGCACAUUGCGCCCGCCAGUAUUCUGGCGGGCAUGCCUGUUCGAGCGUCAUUUCAACCAUCAAGCCCUGCUUGCGUUGGGGUCCUGCGGCUGCCCGCAGGCCCUGAAAACCAGUGGCGGGCUCGCUAGUCACACCGAGCGCAGUAAUACAUCUCGCUUUGGGCGUGCGGCGGGUUCUUGCCGUUAAACACCCCCUUUUUACCAAGGUUGACCUCGGAUCAGGUAGGAAUACCCGCUGAACUUAAGCAUAUCAAUAAGAGGAGGA